UACCCACUAGCUAGCCCUCUUACCCAAGCACAAAAACCACCCAUGAAUAACCCCAAACAAAAUAAACAGCAACAGUUAAACCAUUCUCCCACCCCAGUAUGGGCGACAGAAAAGGAAACAUAGGCGCAAUAGAAAAAGUACCGCAAGGGAACGCUGAAAAAGAUAUGAAACAGCCCAGUAAAGUACAAAAAAGCAGAGAUACCCCCUCGUACCUUUUGCAUCAUGAGUUAACAAGCAUUUGUUACGCGUAACGUUCUUGAGCUUCAAACCCCGAAAUUAAGUGAGCUACCCCAGGACAGCCUAAUGAUUAGGGCCAACCCGUCUCUGUGGCAAAAGAGUGGGAAGAGCCUUGGGUAGAGGUGAAAAGCCUACCGAACUUAAUUAUAGCUGGUUGCCCGUGAAAUGAAUAUAAGUUCAGCCCCCCAGAUUCUACCUUCUUAUUUACCUAUUAAGACCCAAGAUUCAUAGAAGCUGAGGGAGUAAUUCAAAGGGGGUACAGCCCCUUUGAAGCAGGACACAACCUUUUUAGGAGGGUAAAGAUUAUACUUUGUAAGGAAGAAGUGUGUCCCGGUAGGACUAGAAGCACCCACCCGAUAAGAAAGCGUUACAGCUCGAACACACCCAGACUCCAUAUAUCCCAAUAUUUUUAUCUCACACCCCUUCUCCACACCGGGCCAUCCGAUUCUUCAUUCGGAGUGAUAAUGUUAACAUAAGUAAUAAGAAAACAACAAAUUUUCUCCUACGCACAUGUGUAAAUCGAAAUGGACCAACCACCGACUAUUAACGAACUCAACUAAAAGAGAGAAAUGAGAGACACCCUGCUAACCAGAAAACCCCUCAAGCCCCACCGUUAAACCCACACUGGAGUGCCCGCUAGGAAUGACUAAAAGAUAAGAGAAGGAACUCGGCAAACGACACUUAAAGCCCCGCCUGUUUACCAAAAACAUCGCCUCUUGCAGCCCUAAGUAUAAGAGGUCGCGCCUGCCCAGUGACAUUAGUUAAACGGCCGCAGUAUUUUGACUGUGCUAAGGUAGCGUAAUCACUUGUCUUUUAAAUGAAGACCUGUAUGAAAGGUAUGACGAGGGCUUAACUGUCUCCUCUUUCCAGCCAAUGAAAUUGAUCUCCCCGUGCAGAAGCGGGGAUACGCACAUAAGACGAGAAGACCCUAUGGAGCUUUAGACAACAGGACAGACCACGUUAAAAAUGCUUUCAGGCCACAAACAAAUGGGCACUGUUCAAAUGUCUUCGGUUGGGGCGACCCUGGGGAAAGCAAAACCCCCACGUGGACUAGGAGCACAACCCUCGAUUUACUUAACCAUGCUCCCCGAAAUCAGAGACACCUCUCUAAUUAACAGAACUUCUGACCAGUCUGAUCCGGCUAGCCGAUCAACGGACCAAGUUACCCUAGGGAUAACAGCGCAAUCCCCUUCAAGAGCCCUUAUCGCCAAGGGGGUUUACGACCUCGAUGUUGGAUCAGGACAUCCCAAUGGUGCAACCGCUAUUAAAGGUUCGUUUGUUCAACGAUUAAAGUCCUACGUGAUCUGAGUUCAGACCGGAGUAAUCCAGGUCAGUUUCUAUCUAUGAAUAUGCCCUUUUCUAGUACGAAAGGACCGAAAAGAGGGGGCCCCUGCUAAAAGCACGCCCCUCCCCAGCCUAGUGAAAACAUCUAAACUAGACAUUACGGCAUACGUCCCACUGUCUAGUUAAGACACU
Molecule: ribosomal RNA, 1713 nt
Filed under: Cyclopsetta fimbriata (spotfin flounder)
Lineage: Eukaryota; Metazoa; Chordata; Actinopteri; Pleuronectiformes; Cyclopsettidae
Description: 16S rRNA
Rfam family: Bacterial large subunit ribosomal RNA
Source: RNAcentral